Molecule: long non-coding RNA, 216 nt
Filed under: Trifolium pratense (red clover)
Lineage: Eukaryota; Viridiplantae; Streptophyta; Magnoliopsida; Fabales; Fabaceae
Description: long non-coding RNA (TPRA_LNC007906)
Source: RNAcentral
UCAUAAUUGUUCACACAAUAUCCCUAGGCUCUAGGCCAUAUCAACAAAGGAUAUUAUGUUUACAACCCAAAAGAUAGGAUUAGCAAAGUUAAAUAUGUCAUCACGGGCUUAAUACAAUUCAAACGAAUAACCCGACCCGGUAAAACCUAAUCAGAGCAAUUCUAUACAACCCAUCAAAAAGAUAUAUAUAACAUAUAUCUACGGAGUAGUCUACGC